Molecule: non-coding RNA, 89 nt
Organism: Canis lupus familiaris (dog)
Lineage: Eukaryota; Metazoa; Chordata; Mammalia; Carnivora; Canidae
Source: Rfam
AGGGGUGGGCUGGAUCCUGGGCUGUGUCCGGGCGCCCUGUGCUCCGGGGCCUGCGCUGUUGGAUUCGCGCUCCCGGCCCGCAGCCCCCU